RNAcentral lists this ribosomal RNA (443 nucleotides) under uncultured bacterium. Its description in RNAcentral is "partial 16S ribosomal RNA". It matches the Rfam family "Bacterial small subunit ribosomal RNA", at positions 338 to 795 of the family's 1533-position model. The record is from RNAcentral.
CCUACGGGGGGCAGCAGUGGGGAAUAUUGGGCAAUGGGCGCAAGCCUGACCCAGCAACGCCGCGUGAAGGAAGAAGGCCCUCGGGUUGUAAACUUCUUUUAUUCGGGACGAAACAAAUGACGGUACCGAAUGAAUAAGCCACGGCUAACUACGUGCCAGCAGCCGCGGUAAUACGUAGGUGGCAAGCGUUAUCCGGAUUUACUGGGUGUAAAGGGCGUGUAGGCGGGAGAGCAAGUCAGACGUGAAAUUCCAGGGCUCAACCUCGGCACUACUACCAAAACUGUCGGACUUGAGUGCAGGAGGGGCAAAUGGAAUUCCUAGUGUAGCGGUGGAAUGCGUAGAUAUUAGGAGGAACACCAGUGGCGAAGGCGAUUUGCUGGACUGUAACUGACACUGAGGCACGAAAGCGUGGGGAGCAAACAGGAUUAGAUACCCUUGUAGUC